CUUACGGCCUGGGCUACACACGUGCUACAAUGGUCGGUACAAAGGGUUGCCAAGCCGCGAGGUGGAGCUAAUCCCGUAAAACCGAUCGUAGUCCGGAUCGCAGUCUGCAACUCGACUGCGUGAAGUCGGAAUCGCUAGUAAUCGUGAAUCAGAAUGUCACGGUGAAUACGUUCCCGGGCCUUGUACACACCGCCCGUCACACCAUGGGAGUGGGUUGCUCCAGAAGUAGCUAGUCUAACCUUCGGGGGGACGGUUACCACGGAGUGAUUCAUGACUGGGGUGAAGUCGUAACAAGGUAGCCGUAGGGGAACCUGCGGUUGGAUCACCUCCUU
RNAcentral lists this ribosomal RNA (332 nucleotides) under Stutzerimonas stutzeri. RNAcentral describes it as "bacterial SSU rRNA". It matches the Rfam family "Bacterial small subunit ribosomal RNA", at positions 1201 to 1532 of the family's 1533-position model. The record is from RNAcentral. Lineage: Bacteria; Pseudomonadati; Pseudomonadota; Gammaproteobacteria; Pseudomonadales; Pseudomonadaceae.